AAUAGCACCAACAAUAGAAGAAAUCCUGAAACUAAAUUACCUCACGCUUCCCCAACAAUGCAAAAGAGACUUACAAAAAUGGUCUCAAACGCACAUCUCCUGGCUAGGAAAAAUUAACGCAUACAAGAUGAUGUUACUGCCCAAACUUCUCUACAUAUUUAGAAUGCUUCCCAUCCAAGCCCCACAAACACUCCUCAACUCCCUACAAAACAUCUGCAGCUCAUUCAUAUGGGGAAACAAGAAACCACGCAUAUCCCGCACCUUACUCUACAAACAUCCUAAAAAUGGAGGAGUAGGGUUACCCAACCUAAACCAGUAUUAUAAAGCCACGAUGUUGGCAUCGGGCAUACUGAUGCACUUAAAUCGGGGUAUCAUCCAAUGGGUAGACAUGGAAAGAGCCCAACUGGACAAAAACGCAACGCUCGACUUCCUAUGGACACCGACAAAACAUAGACCAGACAAACCAAACCUAUACCCCACCACAACACUGACCGUCCACAUUUGGUCUAAAUUCUUAGAUACAGUAGGGGCCAAAGAAACAUUCCACCCCAACGCACCUCUAACCGCCCUAAG
This is a non-coding RNA of Pelobates cultripes (western spadefoot toad), 573 nucleotides long. NCBI's taxonomy places the organism in Eukaryota, Metazoa, Chordata, Amphibia, Anura, Pelobatidae. The record is from the annotation of a GenBank genome assembly.